RNAcentral lists this long non-coding RNA (207 nucleotides) under Drosophila guanche. Lineage: Eukaryota; Metazoa; Arthropoda; Insecta; Diptera; Drosophilidae. The record is from RNAcentral.
GCUUUGUGUUGCCCCCUUCCUGUCAUUGCUGCCAGUGCUUGAUCCUUUGGCUAUUAUCCUCUGCUGCUCCUGCUCCUGCUCCUGCUCUUGCUGUUUGCCCGCAUUGCUCAUACGCCUCGUGUGUCCAUCUGUCAUUGCGUCUGUCCUUUGUCCUGCCAGUGCCACAUAUGGCAAUGUCUGCGUGCCCGUCCUUCGAGUCCAUUGCCU